This 253-nucleotide ribosomal RNA is filed under the name uncultured bacterium. RNAcentral describes it as "partial 16S ribosomal RNA". It matches the Rfam family "Bacterial small subunit ribosomal RNA", at positions 524 to 776 of the family's 1533-position model. The record is from RNAcentral.
UACGUAGGGGCCGAGCGUUGUCCGGAGUUACUGGGCGUAAAGAGCUCGUAGGUGGUUUGUCGCGUUGUUCGUGAAAACCUGAGGCUUAACCUUGGGCGUGCGGGCGAUACGGGCAGACUGGAGUACUGCAGGGGAGACUGGAAUUCCUGGUGUAGCGGUGGAAUGCGCAGAUAUCAGGAGGAACACCGGUGGCGAAGGCGGGUCUCUGGGCAGUAACUGACGCUGAGGCGCGAAAGCGUGGGGAGCGAACAGG